This 567-nucleotide ribosomal RNA is filed under the name uncultured bacterium. RNAcentral describes it as "partial 16S ribosomal RNA". It matches the Rfam family "Bacterial small subunit ribosomal RNA", at positions 355 to 937 of the family's 1533-position model. The record is from RNAcentral.
UGGGGAAUAUUGCACAAUGGGCGGAAGCCUGAUGCAGCAACGCCGCGUGCGGGAUGACGGCCUUCGGGUUGUAAACCGCUUUCGCCUGUGACGAAGCGUGAGUGACGGUAAUGGGUAAAGAAGCACCGGCUAACUACGUGCCAGCAGCCGCGGUGAUACGUAGGGUGCGAGCGUUGUCCGGAUUUACUGGGCGUAAAGGGCUCGUAGGCGGUUGAUCGCGUCGGAAGUGUAAUCUUGGGGCUUAACCCUGAGCGUGCUUUCGAUACGGGUUGACUUGAGGAAGGUAGGGGAGAAUGGAAUUCCUGGUGGAGCGGUGGAAUGCGCAGAUAUCAGGAGGAACACCAGUGGCGAAGGCGGUUCUCUGGGCCUUUCCUGACGCUGAGGAGCGAAAGCGUGGGGAGCGAACAGGCUUAGAUACCCUGGUAGUCCACGCUGUAAACGGUGGGUACUAGGUGUGGGGUCCAUUCCACGGGUUCCGUGCCGUAGCUAACGCUUUAAGUACCCCGCCUGGGGAGUACGGCCGCAAGGCUAAAACUCAAAUGAAUUGACGGGGUCAUAGCUGUUCCU